This 16590-nucleotide long non-coding RNA is filed under the name Theobroma cacao (cacao). Its description in RNAcentral is "long non-coding RNA (TCAC_LNC000708)". Lineage: Eukaryota; Viridiplantae; Streptophyta; Magnoliopsida; Malvales; Malvaceae. The record is from RNAcentral.
GUUAUAUCUAGGCAAAGGUAGAAACCAAACCUGCCCAUAUGAUGUUGUCCAAGAAAAGGUUCGACCUGUGUCAUAGCAUUCCAGUGACCAGGGGUGGCUCAAUAUUUUUAAAAGUCUAAAAUGAUUAAAUAUUUAAAUGAGCUUCUUAUUGAGAAAAAAAAUUAAAUGAGGCACUUUUUAUUUAAAUUAAAAAUAAUUAUCAUUAGUUGAAGAUCAUUAAUUAUAAAUUACGUUCAUUGAAAAUAGAAAAAAUAAUUAAGAAUUAUUAACAUUAUGAGAAUUGAAAAAUGAUAAAAAAAAAUUUAUUAGAUACAUAAUUGAAAAAAUGAGAGAAUAUGUAAUUUUAUUAAUUAUUUUGACUUUUACAUAAGUAAAGAAGUGAGAUAAAUAAUUAAAAAUUAAUAAAAAAUAGGAAGUGAAGGAAAAUAAAUAUUCAAGAGACACUUACUUUAAAAAAUAUUUUAUUAAUUAUUUUAAUUUUUAUAUAUAUUUAAUAUAAUUAAUUAUAUUAUAUAAAACUAUGAGACCUAUAAAAUUAUGAAGCCUAAAGCAAGCGCUUUGCUGGCUUUAUGCUAAAGCCGGCCCUGCCAGUGACAUUUUCUCCAGUGGACACCAAGGGUGGUGUUAUCCACGAAUCAGCUGACCUUAACAUCAGGUUCAUCCCUCCCGGACCAACAGCUUGUUCCCAAUCAACAGUGUGGGAGGUGGACAGCUAUGACGGAUCAAGGGGAGAAUGGUUCGUGACAACUGGUGGGUGGAAGGUGACCCACAGGCUUUGUCUAGCCUGUUUAAAAUUAAGGGCUCUGGCGGUUUGUCAUAUAAACUUGCUUUCUGUCCUUCGGUGUGAGUCAUGCAAAAAAUAUUUUUGCAGCGAGAUCGGACGAUAUUCAUCUGGUUUUGACCCUCUCAUACGUCUAGUUCUACGCGACAACGAAUUGCCCUUUGUGUUUAUUAAAGCUGGUCAUGAGGUUCUAAAACAAGUUGUCCACAUCUGAAUAUGAAAUGUCUCCAUGUUUAGCAAUUACUACACAUAAAAGCAAAGUCUCUGCUUCCCUAAAUGUUGAUUAUGAAAUGCAAUAUUAUUGUUGCGUUGGACUGUGUAUAUAUAUAAUUGAAAGAAAAAUGAUUUGUUUUUUAAAUAGAUAAUAUAUAUUACGUAAUUUGGUACGACGAAUAAAAUUGAAAAAUGAUAGCUAUUAAAAUUUAUUGUAGUAUUUGAUUAGUAAAAAUAAUUUUAGAAUAAAAAAAAUACUUGAUAAAAGGAUAAAAUAUCUUUUAUUUUAUUUCAUUUUUAAAUAUUAAAAUUUAUAAUUUAAUUAAAAUAUUAAUAAUUGAUAAUUUAAAUAUUAAUAUUUUAUUUAUAAUUUAAUCAUUAAUAUUUUAAAAUAUUAAUAUUUUAUUUACAAAUAUUAAUGUGGAUAGAGUUGUAAAUUUCUAAACUUAUAAGUGGUAACUUAAUCUUAACAAUUUUUGAAGUUAUUCCACUAGACAUGGAACAGCUAAUAUAUAUCAAGGGAGGGGUGGGCGUAGUUAAAAAAAAACUUUGUAUUAAUUUUGAAGUAUAGGUAAAACGGGGGAAUUGCUAUUCCUUACCAAAUUAUCAACUAACGAAAGCAAAUAGUAGUUGGGAAUAACUAUUUCCUGUACCAACGUACCUGUAGUAAAAAAAGACUUGUAUAAAGUUGUAACUGGUGUCAAACAAUCAGGCAGCCAAUUACCAAAACUCCCUAGCACAUACAAAAACCCCGGGAGCAUAAACAUCAGAAUCAUCCCACCACAACCCAGUUCAAACUGUUCCCUGUACAUUAAACACAUCAAUUUGCAGAAACAAAAACCGAUCAGCAAAACAGACCCUCGCAUUCCUUUGUAUAACGACCUCACUACACAUGCACCCAUCAGCCAAAAAUCUUUCCCAGGCUGCCACACCGACAGGAACACAGAAUUCAUAAUCAUCAGAACUUACAAUACCUGCAACCAUGUCAUACCAUGCUCAAUUGCAUCGGCUGCCUCCUUUGGUCACCAUUUUUUGCCAACUGAUCUGCUAUUUCGUUGGCUUCCCGAGGCACAUGAUGGAUACCCCAGCUGCUCACCAAUCGUUUGCAAGCCUCUAUGUGCAUCUCAUUUCUUCUUAAUCUCCAUGGCGUAGUACCUUUGUUGCUAUCUAUUACUAUAACUAUGCCCCUUAAUUAUGUCUUUUUACAGGAAAAUAACCAUUUUAUUAAUGAAUAAUGCCAUAUAUAUGACAUCUAAGUAUCGAUAUAGGAAACUGGAAAUUCAUAUAGUAAAAAAAUCUAAAACUGAACACUCAGAAAUUAGAAUUAACUUUGGAGUUGAAAGAAUUUUUUUUUUUGAAAGAGUUGAAGGAGUUGAUUGUUGAUACAUACAAAUAUCCAAAUUGAUGUGCAACAAUCCAACAACUCAAGGUUCAAUCUUAUCAUUAUAUAUAUAUAAGAACAAAUCAAGAAACUUCGCAUGGCAGCUGAAAUGUAAAACUGACCUUCCUUUUUAACAAAGAAACUUUGAGUACUUGCCUCACUUCCCUUUUUUAAGUUUAUAAGGAUUUUUUUUUAUUUACACCCAGCCCAAUCCUGCUACGCAAAUUCUGUCUUGCCUGGAUCUUGAUUUUUGUUUGAUAGGUCUUUAAGUUGAGUAAAUGAAAACAUAUUUGAUUGAAUGUAAUAAAAAAAUAAAAAUUUUUAAAAUUUUUAAAAAAUUAUGCAAUUUAUUUAUUGUUAAACUUAACUUAGAAAUUGUUUUUUAUUUUUUAAGAAGAUUGAUGUUUAAUAUUCAAAUCUCUAGCUUAUUCUUGUCUCUCACAUAUAUGUAAAUAAUUAUUAUUGUCAGAUUGAUAUAAAUAUUUUUGGCUUCUAUAAAUAAGGCCAAAGUGCAUGGGUCCAAUUUCCAUAUUUAGAUAAGUAUUAUGUAUACUUAACAUGAUUGACUUCAACAUUGCAUUAUUGCAUUAUUGUGUUUUCCAAUCUACAACGUGAUUCACGUAGGUAUAUAUUCAAUAAUUUGUUUAGAAAAAUAAAAUUUUAUGCUGUGUUUGAUUGAUUUUUUUUUUUUACUUUUGUUAUUUGUUAUUUAUUUUUGUUUUUCUAUCUUGUAUUAUAUUUAUAUAUUCAAUUUUUACAUAAAAAUUAAAAUUAAAAUAUCAACCAAACAUAAACUUAAUUAUUACGAUUUUUAACAUUUUCUUCUUCUUCCUUUUGUUUAUGAACUAUAUAUAAAAAUAUUUUGGACGAAUGAUAUAUUUCUAUGUUAUGAUUUAUUUUGCAAAUAUAGAUGACCAGAUCGAUGUAUCACAAAUACAUAUAACAUAUAUAUUUAUAUAAUAUAACCAAAAUAUUGUAUGAGAAUGGAUGGAGAAAUUUAUGCCUAUUCCAACAAUUAAUCAACCUUUAUAUAGAAAUAUAUAUUGUUUAACACUUCUUAAAUGAGAAAUUGGCCGACACUCCAUUAUAUAAAUAUUUUUGCCUUAAACACUAAGAUAGGAGUUACAAAGAGUUGUUAUUCAAAUGUGUGAAGCACUUUUGGCCACGUUUCAAUCACCAUGCAUGGCAUUAUUUUAGUAGAGAAAAAGCCAUGCAUAAUUGAGCAGGGGAUGACGUCCCAACCUUUAUAAAUUGAGCUGAACCGGAAGCAACCCACAUUCAAAUCUACCAAAGCUAGCCGCAUCUCAACAGUGUUAAUGAUGAAGACCACGUUGGCUAUGCUUUUGCUCCUUUUUGUUUUCUCAUCAAAAUCCUCUGCAACUGAUGAAAAUGUUCCAGUGUAUGACGUCAAUGGCGAUGAGCUCCGCCCUGGCGUUCAAUAUUACGUUGUGUCAGCAAUAUGGGGUGCUGGUGGUGGCGGGUUAUAUCUAGGCCAAGGUAGAAACAAAACGUGCCCAUAUGAUGUUGCCCAAGAAAGGUCCGACCUGGUUCGUGGCAUUCCAGUGACAUUUUCUACGGUGGACACCGAGGGUGAUGUUAUCCACGAAUCAACUGACCUUAACAUCAAGUUCAUCCCUCCCCAACCUACAGCUUGUUCCCUAUCAACAGUGUGGAAGGUGGACUGCUAUGACGAAUCAGGGGGAGAAUGGUUCGUGACAACUGGCGGGUUGGAAGGUGACGCACAGGCUUUGUCCAGCCUGUUUAGGAUUACUGCGGCUCCUGGCGGUAUCUCCUAUAAACUUGCUCUCUGUCCUUCAGUGUGUGAGUCAUGCACAAAAUAUUUAUGCAGUGAGAUCGGAAGACAUUCAUCUGGUUUUGACUCCCUGAUACGCCUAGUUCUAAGCGACAACGGAUGGCCUUUUGUAUUUAUCAAAGCCAGUGAUGAUGAGGUUCUAAAACAAGUUGUGAAUGUCUGAAUGAAAUGUGUCCAAGUUUAGCAAUUACUACAAAUAAAAGUAGAGGCUCUGCUUCCCUCUACAUAUGUUGAUUAUGUAAUGCAAUAUGAUUAUUGCCUUGGUCUAAAUAAAUAUCUAGCUACUAAGGAAAAGCGCUUGCCACUUUUCCUUUGCUUCUAUCUAUGAGUCUAUGACUAUGUCUAUGCCCCUUGGUUCUGUCUUUCUACAGGAAACAUACCCAUAUUAUUAAUGAAUAACACCAUGUGACAUCUAAUUAUCAAUAAGGAAGCUGCAAUUUUUUUUUUUGGCUCAGUCAAAGUAUUAUUUUAUCGAAUAUCCGGAAAUGGGGGGAACCGGCAUGAACGGGGCAGAUCCAAGAUGGAUCUGUCUGUAGCAGAAUGUCCCCUACAAAAUUUAGCACACCUAAAUGACUGUGAGUACAUACAUCGCCUCCUAAAAACAAGUGUUAUAAGGAGUUACUGCUGGAUUCUGCAUUCUCUAAAGACGAGUAUCAACAGAUUAACAAGACCACAAAUUGUAUGAAAACAAAACAUAAAGAUCAAUAACCAUGACUAGAGACAAAAGUUGCCUCAGACCAAAUCAUAUCCGCCAUACUGCUCAAGCCGAUAGACAGAAGCAGAAGACCAUCACAAUCAUUAUAGCAUGCAGGCAUAAAAAAUCACCAUCAUGGCGAGAACAUUGUCUUCUUAACGACACCAUAUUUUGCAAAGAAAUCAAUAAACAUUCCCUUCUCAGAGGGCAUGCUGAAAAGUAGCACCUCCUAGUUGAUUGAUUGGAGAGUCAAUUUCAUUAAAAAGAAUCCUCUCAAAAUAGACUCCUUGUUGCGAGUGGCAGUCCAAGCUCUCUUAUAGCGUCCUCCUUUAGUUUUUUUUUUUUUAAUUUAAAAACUAUAUACUUAAAAUAAUUUCUUUUUAAUUAAAUAUAAAAUAUAAAAAAAUAUACUUGAUGUGACAUCAAAUUUUGAGAUACGACAUCAAAUUUUGAGAAAGAUAUUUGAUGUGGCAUGUUAGUAAAAAAAAAUUUAAAACUAAACACUAGUUAGAAUUAACUUUGGAGUUGAAAGAGUUGAUAAUUGAUACAAAUCCAAAGGAAGUGCAACAAUCCACCAACUAAACGUUCAAUCUAAUCAUUAUAGAAUAAAAAAAAUAAUUCAAUCAUUCAUAUAUAUUCAUAUAUUGUACUUUUUGUCCUGGUAGAAUUAAAAUUGUACUUUAAAUAUCAAUGCAAUGGGACCCUCCACAGUCCAGUGCUCUCAGAUGGCCAUAGGCCCAUAGCACAUCAGAGCAGGCUGCUGUUAUUGUCCAGCAAGCUUGACAAGGGAUUUGUGCAUGUGCUCAUGGCAGCUGGCAUGUGACACUGACCCGCCUUUAUUACAAAGAAACUUCGCAUUUGGUCAUUUUAUUCAUCAUAUUCGAAUGUUAUUUUUAUGUUUUGUCAUCUUUAAUCUUUCUUGGUUUUAACCUCUUUAUUUUCCAAAUUCACUAUUUUGAACAUUUAAUGGACAUAAUAAUUAAAUGAAUUUCUUUCCAAACUUGAAAGGAUUAAGUACCUGCCUCACUUCCUUUUUUUACACGUUUAUAAGGAUAAUUUUUUUAUUUACACCCACCCCAACCCUAUUACGUGUUAGUUUUAAGACAAUCCAAAACAUGUCCUAUUUGGAUCUUGAUUUGUGUUUAAUUCGAAUAAAAUGUUAAUAUAUUUGAUUAAAUAUAAUAAAAAAAUAAAAAAUUUAUUUAAAUUUUUUAAAAAUGAUUUGAAAACUUUUAAGAUAUUAUGCAAUUUAUUUAUCCUUAAACUUAACUUAGCAAUUGUCUUUUUUAAGAAGAUUGAUGUUUAACAUUCGAAUCUCCAGCUUAUCCUCGUGUCUCUGGCAUAUAUAAAAUAUUAUUAUUGUCAGAUUGAUAUAAAAAUUUUUGGCUUCUAUAUCUUUACAAGGCAGUGCAUGGGUCCAAUUUCCAUAAUAGAUAAGUUUUAUCUAUACUGACAUUAUCCAUAUAAGAUAAGAAAAUUGAAAUGGUGGAGCAUCUACUAAAAUGAGAAUUCUAGCAAAGUUUUUUUUUUUUUUCCCGACAGGCAUUUAGUAUGAUUGACUUCAACAUUGUGUUAUUGAGCUUUCAAAUCUACACCGUGAUUCACGUACGUAUAUAUUCAAUAAUUUUUUUAGAAAAAUAAAAUUUUAUACUGUAUUUGACUGAUCCUUUUUUACUUUUGUUUUUUGUUAUUUAUUUUUGUUUUUCUAUCUUUUAUUAUAUUUAUAUAUUCAAUUUUUACAUAAAAAUAAAAAUUAAAAUAUCAACCAAACAUAGCCUUAAUUAUUACGAUUUUUAACAUUUUUUUUCUUCUUCCUUUUGAUUAUGAACUAUGUAAAAAUAUUUUGGACGAAUGAUAUAUUUCUAUGCUAUGAUUUAUUUUGAAAAUAUAAAUGACCAAAUCGAUGUAUCAAAAAUACAUAUAACAUAUAUAUAUAUAUAUAUUUAUAUGAUAUGACCAAAAUAGUGCAUGGGAAUGGAUGAAGAAUUCCAAAUUUAUGCCUAUUCCAACAAUUAAUCAACCUUUAUAAAGAAAUAUAUAUUGUUUAAUACUUCUUAAAUGAGAAAUUGCCCGACACUCCCUUAUAUAAAUAUUUUGGCCUUUUAAACAAAAGAUAAUUAUAAAAAAGAGUUGUUAUGGAAAUGUGUGAAGCAGCUUUUGGCCACGUUUUAAUGACCAUGCAUGGCACUAUUUUAGUAGAGAAAAAGCCAUUCAUAAUUGAGUAGGGAUCACUUCCGAACCUUUUAUAAAUUGAUGAGCUGAACUAGAGGCAACCGACAUCCAAAUCUAUCAGAGCUAGCUGCUUCUCAAUAGUGUUAAUGAUGAACACCACGUUAGCUUUUGCUCCUCUCUGUUUUCUCGUCAAAAUCCUCUGCUGCUGAUGAAAAUGAUCCAUUCUAUGAUGUCCAUGGUGAAGAGCUCUGCCCAGCGUUCAAUAUUGUUGAAUAGUUUGUAAUAUUUGUUAAAAAAUAAGUAUUUAAGUGUGACUAUUUAAAAAUAACUAUAACUCUUAAAAAAUAAUAAAAUAAAAAUAAAUAAAUAAUAAAUAUUUACAAUAAACAUAAUCUAUUGAAAUACAACAGAUAUAUCUGUUAAAACAAUACAGACACAUCUGUUGAAAAUAAAAAGGACGCAUCUGUUGAAAGACAAUAGACACAACCUCUCACUGUCUAUAAAAGAACAUACUUCCAAUCAGAAUUCAUUAAAAGCAUUUUGCAAAAAGGCUUGUUAUAUCUUGGAGAGUCUUUGUCUGCGAAUCCCCAUAGUAGACAACAACUCUUUAAAAAAAGUGUGUUACAACACGCCUCAAGCCUUACUUUCUUCUCUUUUCUUCUUCUACUAAUUUCCUAACAAUUUUAAAGAGUUGUUUUUAAUGGAGUCUAAUUCAAUUUCAAGAUUUCAACUUAUGAAUUAAGAAUUCAUCAAAUUUGAUCGGUUUAAUGGAACGAAUUUCACCCACUGGAGAGAUAAGAUGGUGUUUUUGCUCACAGCCUUGAAGGUUUAUUAUGUUCUAGAUCCAACUCUUACUGCACUUCUAGAACUGAUUGUUGAAGACUCUGAUGCACAAAAGGCAGAGAGAAAAAAACGUGAAGAAGAUGAAUUGAUAUGUCGUGGACACAUUCUAAACACUUUGACAGAUUGUCUCUCUACUCCAAUCUGAAAACUCCAAAGGAAAUUUGGGAAGCCUUGGAAACUAACUAUAAAAACGAAAAAAGAGGUACUAACAAAUUUUUAUCUUUAAAAUAUUUUGAGUUUAAGAUAAGUGACAAUCUGUCUAUCAUGGAUCAAAUACAUGAUUUACAAGUUUUAGUUUCAAAACUAAAAUACCUUGAGGUUAAGGUUCCUGAUACGCUACAAAUAGGUGCAAUUCUUUCUAAACUGCCUCAAUCUUGGAAUAAUUAUAGAAAAAAAGGUUCUACAUUCUAUGGAGUCUUUAUCAAUAGAACAAUUCACGACUCAAAUGCAAAUAGAAUGUGAAACACGUGUUCGUGAUACACUAUUUCAGCCUUCUGAUUCGAAAGUGAAUCUUGUGAGUCAGAAUUCUAAAAAUUUUGGAAAGAAUUCUAUGAAAUUCAAGUCAUCUGCACUGAAAGUUUCAAGACAGGACUUUAAGAAAAAAAAGAUAAGAAAAAUAUAAAAUAUUUCCAUUGUGGAAAGAAAGGCCAUAUGAUUAGUGAAUGCAGAUCAAGGAAGGCAGGAAAGAAUUUUGGUUCUAUAAAUCCUGAAAAAGCAAACAUAAUAGAAGAGGCUGUCAAUGAAUUAGUUGUCAUGGUUUCUACAAUGAAUAUUAGAAUGGUAACAGAAUUGAACAUGGUUGUUGAUUCCAAUAAAAGUAAAGAUUGAUGGCUAGAUUCUGGUGCUACAAUUCAUGUAUGCAAUGACAAAAACUUGUUCAAGACAUACAUGAAAAUUAAUAAAUCAGAAAAUGUUUUGAUGGGAAAUCAUGUUACAACCAAAGUUGAAGGAAAAGGGACUGUUGAGUUGAACUUCAUUUCUGGACAAAAGCUGACGUUACUCAAUGUAUUCCAUGUUCCUGAAAUUCGAAAGAAUUUAAUUUCUGCUAGUUUGCUUGCAAAUAAAGGUUUUAAAAUUGUAAUCGAAUAUGAUAAUGUAAUAGUAUCCAAGGGUGGUUUUGUAGGAAAAAGAUACUUUUGUAAUGACAUGUACAAGUUCAGUAUUGAUGAAAUAAAUAUAAUUUUUGCUUAUACUGUUGAGUCUAAUUUUUUAUUAUGGCAUGUUAGAUUAGGACACUUAAAUUUUGGUUCCAUGAAAUUUUUGUCUAAAUAUGGUUAUAUUGUAUGCAAACAUGAGUACUUAGAAAAAUGUGAAAUAUGUAUACAAGCAAAAAUGACAAGGAAACCUUUUUGUAGUGUAAAAAGAAACUCACAAUUAUUAGAUAUUGUGCAUUCUAAUAUAUGUGAAUUAAAUGGAAAGUUAACUAGAGGAGAAAAAAAUAUAUUUUAUAACUUUCAUCGAUGAUUAUUCUAGAUUCAGUUAUGUCUAUUUAAUUAAAACAAAAGAUGAAGCUUUUCAAAAAUUUAAAGAAUAUAAAUUUGUUGUGGAAAACCAAAUAGGUAGAAAAAUCAAAAUUCUAAGAAGUGAUAAAAUAGGAGAAUAUUUUCCUAUAGAAUUUGAUAAUUUUUGUGAAGAAAAUGGUUUGAUACAUCAAAAAAGUGCUCCUUAUUCACCACAACAAAAUGGAUUAGCUGAAAGGAAAAAUAAAACUUUGGUUGAUAUGACAAAUGUUAUGUUAUUAAAUUCACAUUUAUUACACAAUUUAUAGGGUGAAGCCUUAUUAACAGCAUGUCAUAUACUGAAUAAAAUUCCUUUCAAAAGUAUUAAGGUUUCACCUUAUGAACUUUGGAAUGGAAGAAAACAAAACUUGGAAUAUCUUAAAGUGUGGGGGUGCUUGGCUUUUUAUAAAGUUCCUGAACCACAAAAAACAAAGCUUGGACCUAGAGCUGUAAACACUAGUUUUUUAGGUGAAAUAAACAUUAUAAAAGAAAAAAUGAGAAAAAAAAAGUAAAAAGCAAAAAAUGAAAAUGUACGACUGGCAGGGUGCGGACGCACCCUACCAAGCACGAUAUGCAGUGCCAGAAGCGAAAAACUUGCGUCUGGCAGAAGGUGGAAAAUGGCACCUCGUGAACAUAAUCGGGGUAUAAAGCAAGAAAAUCGACAAUAAAAAAAAAGGAACAGAAAAAUCCCUCACAGUAAAAAACCUAGCCUUUAGCAGCCAAAUACCACAGAAAAAUCAUUUCUUUAUUCUUCUAACAGCCAAGAACUAGCAACCAAAAGAAAAUAAAAAAAAAUCCUAGCCACCUACAAACCAAAAAACCCAAAAAUUCCUAGUUAGAACCAACAAUCGAAAACAACCACAAAAAGAUAUAUAAAAAAAAAUUAAAAAAAAAUGUGUCACUGGUGGGAGUUUAGGGAGUUUGGGGUUUGUGUUGCCGUUUAAAAAAGGGGUUGGGAGGUUGUUAUGCCACCAUUUUAAAAGCGGGUUGAGAGGUGGUUGUGUCGUCGUAGGAAAGGGAGUAAGAGAGAGACCCAAUUGAUCCCCAAAAAGGAGCGUCGAUUGAAGGCUAUCUUGGGGAAAAUUUAGAGCAGAUCGACGAGUUUUUAAGGGGUAGCUGCCUGCGAAAGGAAGAGAGUUGCUGGAGAGGUAGCUAUCGACGGAAGGAAAAGAGUUGUUGGAGGGGGGCAACGUUUGCGACGUCGAGCGUCAAAGAGAACUCUUUUUUUGGGUAGCUAUCGGUUGAAGGAAGAUAGCUGCUGAAAGGCGACAACGCCGGCGACGUCGAGCGGUAAAGAGGUAGAGAGUGGGUUGAGCAGCUGGCGGCUAGAGAGAGAGACAAAAGGGAGAAAAUGGAAAAAUGAGAGAAAAAUAGGAUUUUAUAGUUAAGGUUUAAAGGGCUUAAAACUACGUCGUUUUGCAACUAAUCAAUAGACCUUUCCAAAGCUCAAAACGGUGCCAUUUUGGAGCACAAAGGGUGGCUGAAGCAAGGAACUAAACAAUGCACUUUGACUAGAGGAGAGGUGGGCUUCUGGACUAGACGGUGGGGUUUGAUAGGCAGACCAGUUGGGCCAAGCUGAUCGUGUUGGGCUACUGUUAACCCAUUGAAGGUAUACACUUAUUUUUUGUUUUGAUUUUGUGGUUGUGCUUGGCAAUAAAAAUUAAAAAAAAUAAAAAAUAAUUUUUUUAAAAAAAUAGAUGAGGAUAAAAUAGGAUGUUUAAUGAUACAAAAAAAAAANNNNNNNNNNNNNNNNNNNNNNNNNNNNNNNNNNNNNNNNNNNNNNNNNNNNNNNNNNNNNNNNNNNNNNNNNNNNNNNNNNNNNNNNNNNNNNNNNNNNNNNNNNNNNNNNNNNNNNNNNNNNNNNNNNNNNNNNNNNNNNNNNNNNNNNNNNNNNNNNNNNNNNNNNNNNNNNNNNNNNNNNNNNNNNNNNNNNNNNNNNNNNNNNNNNNNNNNNNNNNNNNNNNNNNNNNNNNNNNNNNNNNNNNNNNNNNNNNNNNNNNNNNNNNNNNNNNNNNNNNNNNNNNNNNNNNNNNNNNNNNNNNNNNNNNNNNNNNNNNNNNNNNNNNNNNNNNNNNNNNNNNNNNNNNNNNNNNNNNNNNNNNNNNNNNNNNNNNNNNNNNNNNNNNNNNNNNNNNNNNNNNNNNNNNNNNNNNNNNNNNNNNNNNNNNNNNNNNNNNNNNNNNNNNNNNNNNNNNNNNNNNNNNNNNNNNNNNNNNNNNNNNNNNNNNNNNNNNNNNNNNNNNNNNNNNNNNNNNNNNNNNNNNNNNNNNNNNNNNNNNNNNNNNNNNNNNNNNNNNNNNNNNNNNNNNNNNNNNNNNNNNNNNNNNNNNNNNNNNNNNNNNNNNNNNNNNNNNNNNNNNNNNNNNNNNNNNNNNNNNNNNNNAUGAGAAUAAGUAAAAAAUAGAAAAUAAUUUUUUUAAAAAAAAUAGAUGAGGAUAAAAUAGGAUGUUUAAUGAUACAAAAAAAAAAAUGAAUGAUGAAUGAGUGAAUGAAUAAUGAUAAAAAAUGAGAAUAAGUAAAAAAAUAUAAGAGUAUAUAUAUACUUGAUUAUAUAAUAAAUAAUAAUAAAAUCUGGUGAAAUAGUUAUUCAACUAUAAAAAGAGAUCCAAGCAUAAAAUAUGUAGAGAAAUAAAUAAACAUUUAAUUAUUAAAAAGAUUAAUAGAUUUAUUUAAGUAAUAAAUAUAGGAAAGUAAACAUUUAAUGGUAUAAGUAGAUUUAUUAAGAUUAGCAAUAUAUGCACAUAUUUGGAUAUAGAACAUUAUUUAGAAAAAAUAUAAGUGGAGGGAAAGGAUGAAAUGUGGAACAUAUUUAUGAGAUACAUAGUUAUGUAAAUUCAUGUAAAGACAAUAGAAAUGAAAAUAAAUUAGGGAGGAUUAAAAUUAAAAUAUAAUGAAACAAAAUAUGAAAAUAUCAAAUUGGGCGAAAAAGGUCGUUCUAUAUGAAAUGGAGAUGGGUACAAAUAGGGAGAGAAUAAAAAUAGGAUAAGAUAAAAAAUUAUUAAUAAAAUAAUUGUUCGAUUUAAUACCGAUGAUGGGAUGAUCGAUAAGGACGCGAGAAGUCGUAAUCCCGGACUAAUUUUUCCUAGGUUCAGAAUCUGAAUUAAGGCUCCACCAGUAUGAUGGGAGGGCCUUGAUUUUGAGGUUUCGAGAUUUUUAAUUUUAAAUAAAUAAAAAAUAUAAUGAAAAGAUAAAAAAUAUAAUAAUAAAAAAAUAAUAAAGUAAAAAUAAACUUCAAAAGCAUAUCAUAUAUUUCUAUUGCAUCAUGCAUAUAAUUGCAUAUAGAUAUUUUUGUUUGCGAGCAUAAGCCCCGAUGAUGGAAUUUUUCGAAGAUCUUACGAAGGUGAGUUUCUCUCGAAAAGUUCUCUAGGUGAAAGGGUGCCCCCGAGUCCCACCAGUAUGAUGGGAAGGCUCGAAAAACAUCUUUAAUAAAAGGCUUUAGCUAGUAUUAGGUUCAUUAUUCACGAAAACAUUAUUUUUUUUAAAAAAAAUGUACGAUAACCUCGAUGAUGGGAUUUAUUUGUCGAAUUUACGAAGGUGAAUUUCUCGGAUAAUUUCUUAGGUGAGAGAACAUCUCGGAUCCCACCAGUAUGAUGGGCGGAUCUGCUAGAACGUCCUCGAUAAAAGAUUAUUUGUCCGACAUUUUUCAUCUCAUACCAUGCAUUUUAUCUUGCCUCACAUUUGCAUUCCAUUUUAGGUUGAAUAGGAGAUAAAAUAAGUGAAUAAUAGCUAAGGAAAUAAAAUGAACUUAAAAAAUAAAGCCUAAUAGGAUAAUCUAAAAAUGGUACCGUUCAUGAAACGGGCGUUCUGGGAGUGCUAAUCCUUCCCCGGGCAUAAUUGUAGUCCCGAACCUAAAUCUCGAAAAACGUAGACCAGUUUAAGAUUCUUUCGACGAGCUUAAAUCUAAUUAAGACUCCGUCGAUUAGAAUCGAGGCAAUAGGUUGCCAAUCACACUUAGUAAAAAAGAUUGGUGGCGACUUCUAGUUUUGGAGUUUUCAUCACGUCUAGCGGUCGGAUUCCAAGAUUCGCACGUUACGACAAGAGCAAUAAAAGGCAUUUUUGUUGGCUAUGCCCAACAUUAUAAAGCAUAUAGAAUUUUAGAUUUACAAUCAAAUAUUAUUGUAGAGUCUAUACAUGUUGAAUUUAUUGAAAAUAAAUUUAUGUAUAACUCUAAUAAUAAAGAUUGUGAACAAAAUAUCUUAAUUUCAAGUUUUGACCAAAGUGAUAUGACUUCUUAUAAUACAUCCAGUAAAGAAAAAUGGAUGAUACUCAAAUUGAGUUGAGAAGAAGUCAAAGAGCCAUAAAAAGAAAGCACUUAGAUCUAGAUUUUGUUGACUCAUAAGCAUUAGCAUUCCUUGUAGAAGGAAGUAAAACCAAAGUGUGUAAAAAGAUACCUAUUUUGUUAAACAUUGAAGAUGAUCCAAAAACAUUUAAAGAAGCUAUGUCUUCAAGGGAUGUAGCUUUUUGGAAAGAAGCAAUAAAUGAUGAAAUGGAUUCAAUCUUAUCAAACAAAACAUGGAUUUUGGUUGAUCUUCCUCCUGGAUCAAAACCCAUAGGUUGUAAAUGGGUAUUUAGAAGGAAAUAUAACACAGAUGGUUCAGUGCAAACCUUUAAAGCUAGACUAGUUGCCAAAGGUUUCACGCAAAAAGAAGGCAUAGAUUAUUUUGAUACUUACGCCCCGGUAGCAAGAAUAACAUCCAUAAGAACACUUUUGGCUUUAGCUUCUAUUCAUAAAUUACAUGUACAUCAAAUAAAUGUUAAAAUUACCUUUUUAAAUGGAGAUCUUAAUGAAGAAAUAUAUAUGUAGCAACCUGAAGGUUUUAUACUUCCUAAAAAUGAAAGGAAGGUUUGUAAACUAAUCAAAUCUCUUUAUGGAUUAAAACAAGUUUUAAAGAAAUGACGUGAAAAGUUUGAUAGUACUAUACUUUCAAAUGAAUUUGUACAUAAUAAUGCAAAUAAAUGCAUUUACUCUAAAUUUACAAAAGGCUAUGGCGUAAUCAUAUGUCUUUAUGCAGAUGAUUUAUUGAUCUUUAAUACAAAUAUGCUUGGAAUUGUUGAAAUCAAGAAAUAUUUAACUUCAGUUUUCAAAAUGAAAGAUUUCAAUGAAGUUGACAAAAUUUUGAGAAUUAAGGUCAAAAGAGAUCAAAAUGUGAUUUCAUUAAAUUAAUCACAUUACAUAGAGAAAAUUCUUCACAAAUAUAGUCAUUUGGAAAUCAAAAGUUUCAUACUCCUUAUGAUUCGAGUAUAAAAUUGACUAAGAAUUGUGAAAGAGUUAUGACACAAUUAGAAUAUGCUAGUGUCAUAGGCAGCAUUAUGUAUGUUACGCAUUGUACCAGACCAGAUAUAGCUUUUGCUGUUUGCAAACUUUCAAGGUUUACAAGUAAACCUAGUAAGGAUCAUUGGAAAGCUAUUAUUAGAGUACUUGGAUAUUUAAAAAAAAUAAAAAAUUUGAAAAUUUGUUACAAUGGUUUUCUUAGUGCUUUAGAAGGAUUUUUAGAUGCUAGUUGGAUAACUAGUAUUGAUAACAAUAAAUCCACAUUAUGAUGGAUUUUUACUUUAGGAGGUUGUGCCAUUAGUUGGGCACCUAAGAAGUAGACUUGUAUUACGCAUUCCACAAUGAAAUCGAAAUUUUUAGCAUUAGCAGCUGUUGGAAAAGAAACGGAAUGGCUGAGAAAUUUGUUAUUAGAUAUAAAGUUGUGGCCAUAACCAAUGCCAGCCAUUUCCAUAUAUUGUGACAGUGAGGCUACAAUGUGUGCAGCCCAUAAUAAGAUCUAUAAUGAAAAGUCUAGACACAUAAGUUUGCGACAUGCCUAUAUAAGAGAAUUAAUCUUAAAUGGCAUUAUAACAAUAGUUUAUAUUAAAUCUUGCAAGAAUUUGGCUGAUCCACUUACCAAAGCUUUGCCAAGAGAGGCUAUAAAGUCAACUUUUAGUGGAAUGGGGCUAAAACCCUUGACUUAAAAGCAUUAGUAAUGGAAACCCAACUUUGAGUUAGCAAAACUAACAAUAAAAGUUCAAUGGGUAAUAACAAGUUACUAUAUGCUAUCAUUAUGCACUGAAUUUUAUAUUAAAUAGCCUCAUUCUAGAACAUUUAGUGCGACUGUUAUGAGAAAAGGAUGAGCAAAAGGCUCUUAAUGGAAACAUCAAAUGCCUGUAGUAACAGGGGCAUAAAUACAAAUUUCACCUAUAUGAUUAUUGGAGUGGUGCCGCUCCAACCAAGAAUUAAAAGGGUUUAUUUUUGUAAAUAUUCAUGAAAUUGUGAUUAGCACAAGGCCAUAUAAGUGCUAAAGCAGUUGGCAGAAUCUUCAAAAAUAAUACUAUGUGUGUGAUAUUUUCGGUUAUGACAUAAGGAGUUGAGGUUCAAUCCUUGUUAUACCAAUAACUUCGUCUUAACUUUAAAAUUUCUACACUAAUAGAAAGUUCAAAUCUUUGAGAUACUUUCUAUUAUGCAUAGUAUUAUUAAUAUUACAAACUAGUGAAGGAUUGUUGAAUAGUUUGUAAUAUUUGUUGAAAGAUAAGUAUUCAGAUGUGAUUGUUUAAGAAUAAAUAUAACUCUUAAAAAAUAAUAAAAUAAAAAUAAAUAAAUAAUAAGUAUUUACAAUAAACACAACUAUUGAAAGUUAUAAAUACAUCUGUUGAAAUACAAUAGACACAUCUGUUGAAAAUAAAAAGGACGCAUCUGUUGAAAGACAACAGACACAACCUCUCACUGUCUAUUAAAAAACAUACUUCCAUAUCAGAAUUCAUUAAAAGCAUUUUGCAAAAAGACUUGUUGUAUCCUGAAGAGUCUUUGUCUAUGAAUCUCCAUAAUAAAUAACAACUCUUUAAAGAAAGUGUAUUACAGCACGCCUCAAGUCUUACUUUCUUCUCUUUUCUUCUAUUAAUUUUCUAACAACCGGUUAUAUCCAGGCAAAGGUGAAAACCAAACCUGCCCAUAUGAUGUUGUCCAAGAAAGGUUCGACCUGCGUCAAGGCAUUCCAGUGAUAUUUUCUCCAGUGGACACCAAGGACGACGGUGUUAUCCGCGAAUCAACUGACCUUAACAUCAAGUUCAUCCCUCCCGGACCAACAGCAUGUUCCCAAUCAACAGUGUCGAUGAUGGACAGCUAUGACGAAUCAAGGGGACAUUGGUUCGUGACAACUGGUGGGGUGGAAGGUGAUCCAUAUGCUCUGUCCAGCCUGUUUAGGAUUAAGGGCGGCG